Long non-coding RNA from Equus asinus (donkey), 1787 nucleotides. Lineage: Eukaryota; Metazoa; Chordata; Mammalia; Perissodactyla; Equidae. The record is from Ensembl.
CAUUUCACCGCGGGGCUCCAGCCGUGUGCUCCAAGGAAGCACAGCCAGAGUUGGGGUCCGCCGCCACAACUCAGUGCUGGCCCUCGAACUCCUCCCAGUCCAGCUGGGGAGAUGGCCUGGGCCGUAGUCACCGGGCGAGCGAGUGAGUGAGUGAGCACCAAAGGCCAGAAGAAAGCUGGGAGGCUGUGGAGUCUACGCACAGGCCUGGUUUUGAAGCCCAGGGGCUUGGUCCAGGUUGGCAGGCUCAUCUGGACGUGCUGUUUCUUUGGAUUGGGUUUACUGUGUAUUUGAUAUACUAAGGAGUCUCCAAACAAACUAAAACUGUUCAUUUUACCCACAACUGUCAAUCAAGAAAAGCUGUGGACUUCCGCACAACCAGGUGGCAGAGUGGGGCAUCCAGCCUGAGCCUGUCCAUUGUGAAGACCGUCCUCUCGCCACCAUACGCCUCCGCUAAGACUGCAGCAAGUGGCACCCCCACAGGGCCCUGAAUCCAUGAGCGCCACCAGGGCUUCCUCACUCACCCUUCCUCCCAGACCUAGCGCACAGCAAAUGUCCACUGAAUGGGCAAAUGAAUGAAGCCUUCCAGAUGCUGCAGCGAAGUGCCUUUCCUUGUCCAAUCACCUCACUUCCAAGACCUUCCAGGAAGAGAUGAGCCAGGGAGCCCAGGCUGCACGCAGGAAAUAGGAAUCACCAGGCAUGCUUCUUGGUUCUUGGUUCUUGGCACAGGCUGGGGUCUUUUCCUUGCUUGUGCCCAGGGGACGUGGCCUCUGCGGGCAUACGGCCUGUUCUUGCCUUUUCCUCUUUCCUCCUCCAGGCUCCCCACACUCUUGCUGGCUUCCGUAGCACGUCCUAGUUGGUCUGCUACGACGUGGGCAUCUGUUCCUGGAGCUGCUUUUUAGUGGUGCAGACAAUGCCUAACAUCUGGCCACUUUUCUGAUGAAAACUUGUCUCCAGCUGCCUGUCACUUACAAAGGCCACAUGAUGCAGUGACAGUGCUCUAGGAGGGCCUGAAGAGCCAGAUUCUAGCCCUUCCUCUGACUUGCUGGGGGCCUUUGGACAAAUUUCCUCACCUCAAGGCCUGUCUCCUCCCCUGCUUUUGUGUUAGCCUUUGAAAGAAGCAUGCACACAGGUCAUCCCUGAGCAGCCAGAGAAGCCUGGAGACCUGGGCCUGCCCCGGCUGGAGCGACUGGGAGAUGAGGACUGUCCACUGGGGACAUAUGCCGAAGGAGAAGCCUUCCCAGAGGAGAGGAUUCAAACAGGAAGGACUUUUGAUAAACCCCGUCCUUGAGAAAUUAAUUUGAACAGAGCAAAAUCCUGUUUGGCUUCCACAUGCAAUCUCAGAGGUCGGAACAAGACUGAAAGGGUCACAAUCAACUCUGGAGCCUCAGACAGCACCCACAUCAACCAGGCUGGCUUAUCCUAUCAAGUGGCUGACAUGUUUUCAAUCAUUUAACAAAUAGGUAUUAACCAACAGUGGAGACAGCAGUGAGCCAGACAGACGAUGUCCUGGUCUCCAGGCUCAGGAACCCCAAGGACAGAAUGGGUACCUCGUGUGCCGGGCGGCAGCCCAUGCUGCCCGAGCCGGUAUCAGGAAGCAGGGCCUUCCUCAGUUCAUAGCUGGGAGGGCAGAAGCUUCACAGGCGAGGGGUGGGAAGUUCAGGCCUGCCUAACUCUGUGAGGCCUCUGGCUGAUCUAGUCUAAGAACACCCUCACGUCUGCACCUGCCACCUCUCAGACUUCUCUGAGGUAUCUCUCGACCUUGGUCUGGCCCAGCUUGCUGAACCCGG